AUAAAGCUAACUAGGCCUGGGCAUUCGGGGUCCCAAUCGGGUUUCGGUUUUUUGGGUUUAUCAAAAUCAGCCCCAUUCGGAUUAUAUGAAAGUUCGGUUCGGAACCGGUUCGGGUUCAAUCGGGUUCGGGUCGGGGUUAGUAAAUCUUCAAAGAACCGGUACAACCCAAUAUAUUUUCGGGUUCGGGUAAGAAACAUAGGAACUUAUUUGCCCAGCCCUAAAGCCAACCAUCCAGUACAUAUUAUUAUAUUCACACAAUCUUGAGGUUUACCUUUUAAUUUUGAUUUAGGAUGUAACUGUUGUAAGUUCUUCAACUCGGUUAUUGUGGAGGCUCGCUUUUUUUUUCUCAUGUAAGAAACAUAGGAACUGAAUUCAUUUUUUUUUCUUUCUUUUUUUGUUGAGCAAUAAAAUACUUGGAUUAAGAAAUAGGUUUUUAAGUAACAGAGGAUGGCUUACUGAUUAAAUGGGCCGCUAAACAACAUUUCGCGAGCCCAUCAGCAAAGCCAUUUUGAGAACGAGGGAUGUAAAUGAAACGAUAAGACUGAAAAGAUGAAGACGGUGAGAAGGCUAAAUCGCCGAUAUCGGCGAAAACCCCGAAGAGUUCCGAUGAUCGUCGGCGAGAGGAAAUCGUGUUAACGAGUAUUUGAGAGUCUGAUUUGAUACAGAUAUGGUGGUAAUUGAGAGAGGAUGCUUGUAGAAGGGCUUCUCGGAUCGCUAAAGCUUCGGCCAUGCACGGCGAGGAGACAAAAUCUUGAGAACAUGAUCCUCUUUGGAGCUCCUGCGAAGAGGGUCGGUGAAGAUCCAGGCCAGGCCCACCGAUUUGAUCCCUCCCUUCCACGAGGCGUCCGUAUUGCAGAUGAUUUCCCUAGAGGUUUCUACUGGCGCUUGAUUCUGGUAUAAGCUCUUAGGAGUUGGCUCCUUCUUUGAUGGCUGCGCUAGUUGCCAUUCUUUGAGGGAUCCUAUGGCUUUUGCGAAAACUUCUCCUGCUGAUUGUCGACGAUUCUCAAAGAGGAGGAGAUUUCGUGAAAUCCAUAAGGUGCAGCAGAUCGAUGGGAGGGCGUUUUCAGUAAAACCAUAUGGAGGAAGAGGGACUUGGAGCAUAGCUCUAAGACAUGUGUAUUUUCUUUUGAAGAAUUAAACUUACAUUUAGUGUACAACUAAAUUCGUUGUAUGUGUUCACAAUAAUAAAAUCCAUUCAAUGCUUAGAAUCAAACUCAUGCAUGAUUUAUAAGACUUUAAACUUGUAAGGAUUUUUAACGCGACAAUCACUCAACUAAGUUUGUUUUGGGUAAAAACCAUUAAACUAAGUAUUUUUCGAAAAAACUCUUAAACUACCUUUAUUUAAUGAAUUAAACCCUAACAUGUUAUAGUUACCAUUACUACCGGUAGAUAUUUAGUUGGGGUUCUACAUUAAGUAAACAUAAUUGAGGGGUUUUACCAUAAAAAAUCUAAAAAACCAAAAAAAUCAAAAUUUUAUAAUAAUAUCUAAACAUUAGUAACUUACAUUUUCAAAAUUAGCAUUUUUAAGUCUUUUUGUAAAAUAUAUGAGUUUCAUGUGUUUUUAACAUCCACAUUAUAUAUGUAUAAAUUAAAAAUGAAAAACCUAGAAAAUAUAAUAAAAAGUAUUUAAAGAUAUACUUGUAAUAAAAUUACUAAAAGAUUAAGAAUGUAAAAAUAAGAAAAUAUAAUAAAAAUUAUAUCUUAUCUAAUAAAAAUGUAAUAAUAAAUUUUUGGAUAAUUUGUAUUAUAUUUUUUUGGGGUAUUAUAUUUUUUUGGGUUUUUAUAUUUUUAAUUUAUACAUAUAUAAUGUUGAUGUUAAAACCACAUCAAACUCAUAUAUUUUACAAAAAAAAAUGCUAAUUUUGAAAAUUUAAGUUACUAAUUUUUAGAUAAUAUUAUGAAAUUUUGAUUUUAUUUUAUUUUAUUUAUUUUUAAGGGUAAAACCCCUCAACUAUGUUUACUUAAUGUAGAAACCCCUCAACUAUGUUUACUAAAGAUUUGUCAGUUGUAAUGGUAAUUAUGACCUGGUAUGGUUUAAUUCAUUAAAUAAAGUUAGUUUGAAAGUUUUUUCAUUAAAUAUUUAGUUUGGAGGUCUUUACCCAAAACAAACUUAGUUGACGGAUUUUAACGUUAAAAAUCCAAAUUUUAACCACUAACUUAAGAAACUUUCACUAAAUAUGAUCUUUUAGUUUCAUUUAAUAAGCCUAAGGCUAAUGAUAGGAGAAUAAGAAAACCAUAAAUUUUUUUACCUUUUAUAUACAAAAAAAACAUUUAGUAUUAACUAAAAAUUUCACCAAUAAUAAAAAUGUAAUUAAAUUUUAAUAGUUAUAGCGUAUUAGAUAAAUAUAAAAUAUACAUAUUUUAAAAUAAACCAAAAACAUUUUAUAUAUCUUAGAUCAUAUGAAAGAAGGAAUAUUGAUUAACUAUCUCUUUUAUUAAUUUAGAAACAACAUAUAAAUUUUGAUUAAGAAAAGAAACAUUAUAUAGAAUUAUCUUUAAGCUCACAUGUGACUUGAGAAAUUUUCAUUUAGAAAUAUUUAUACUUUUAGAUUUUCAUUAGGAGUAACAGUAUCAUAUCAGUUUAAUCUUAAUUUACAUAUAAAACUUUCAUAAUCUAUUUUGUUUUAUUCUGUAAAUUAAUAUAUUAACUAGAUUUUAACCGGCGUUAAUGUUUCUUUAUUUUUUUAUUUAGAAAACCGACAACAAAUUAUUGUGAAUGUUAAACCAUUUGAAUUCAACCCAAACGAACUUAUUUGCCCAGCCCUAAAGCCAACCAUCCAGUACAUAUUAUUAUAUUCACACAAUCUUGAGGUUUACCUUUUAAUUUUGAUUUAGGAUGUAACUAUUGUAAGUUCUUCAACUCGGUUAUUGUGGAGGCUCGUUUUUUUUUCUCAUGUAAGAAACAUAGGAACUGAAUUCAUUUUUUUUUCUUUCUUUUUUUGUUGAGCAAUAAAAUACUUGGAUUAAGAAAUAGGUUUUUAAGUAACAGAGGAUGGCUUACUGAUUAAAUGGGCCGCUAAACAACAUUUCGCGAGCCCAUCAGCAAAGCCAUUUUGAGAACGAGGGAUGUAAAUGAAACGAUAAGACUGAAAAGAUGAAGACGGUGAGAAGGCUAAAUCGUCGAUAUCGGCGAAAACCCCGAAGAGUUCUGAUGAUCGUCGGCGAGAGGAAAUCGUGUUAACGAGUAUUUGAGAGUCUGAUUUGAUACAGAUAUGGUGGUAAUUGAGAGAGGAUGCUUGUAGAAGGGCUUCUCGGAUCGCUAAAGCUUCGGCCAUGCACGGCGAGGAGACAAAAUCUUGAGAACAUGAUCCUCUUUGGAGCUCCUGCGAAGAGGGUCGGUGAAGAUCCAGGCCAGGCCCGCCGAUUUGAUCCCUCCCUUCCACGAGGCGUCCGUAUUGCAGAUGAUUUCCCUAGAGGUUUCUACUGGCGCUUGAUUCUGGUAUAAGCUCUUAGGAGUUGGCUCCUUCUUUGGUGGCUGCGCUAGUUGCCAUUCUUUGAGGGAUCCUAUGGCUUUUGCGAAAACUUCUCCUGCUGAUUGUCGACGAUUCUCAAAGAGGAGGAGAUUUCGUGAAAUCCAUAAGGUGCAGCAGAUCUAUGGGAGGGCGUUUUCAGUAAAAC
RNAcentral lists this long non-coding RNA (3618 nucleotides) under Brassica rapa (field mustard). RNAcentral describes it as "long non-coding RNA (BRAP_LNC004921)". The record is from RNAcentral. Lineage: Eukaryota; Viridiplantae; Streptophyta; Magnoliopsida; Brassicales; Brassicaceae.